AGCUUGCGCGGGGCUGUUACGGUGUGACAUUGUCGCAGAGGAUCUGAGAUUGGUGGUAGUCAUUGCCGCGUGCUUCUUGUAUGAGUAAGCCAAGUGUUGUUGUGGUGGUGAUGGUGGUGGUUGUGGCGGUUAGGGUUUAAUGUUGUAAAUUUGGGCAUUUCUGUGGGGUUUUUUUGUCUACCGAAGAGAGUGAAAGGACAUCUGAGUGAAUUUUUGUUUGCGACCCUUGAUGGCGUGUCGUUUUUUAGUUUUUCGCUAAUGGCUCCCGUGCUCCAGGAGACCAGGUUGAACUCUUGAAUUUUGAAAGUUGAAACAUCCGGCCCACGCCUAACCAUAGAUCCGAUCCUAGUCUUCCAUUUUACUCACAUGCCCAUGCCAUCAUCGAAAUUUCAAUCAUGUCCCAACUCUUGUCAGCCACGAUAACAUUCGAAUUUCAAAGGUAUAGAUUUUAAAUAUUCACCAUUACGCAAUGUGUUUGCUCUGUAUAAUACAGAGUUGUCUUCGUUGUCCUUUUCUGCCGGGCGAGUUUCCUAAGGGGCACAUUAGAGGAGCAAAUGAACUAUUACCGCUUUAAUGGCAUUGGCGAAAGUUGAAUUUCGAAGCAAGCACGUUGCUAAAUUAAACGAUUGAUUUUAUAUUUAUAGACCGGUGCAGUUUUCAAUCCUGGGCUAGUUAAAACUACUCUUAUCUCAGCAAUAACAUAACUCCUUUGUUGAUUGUGGAAAAUACUUCCCAUUAUUUCCAAAGGACAACAUUCAGAUUCGAACAAAUUAAUGUAAUUUAAACAUCACAAUUCAGCUUUUUCACAUUUAGGGACAACUAUGUCACGCUACCCAAAGUAAGGAGAGACCAAAAAACCACACAUUCUACAGAACUCUUAUGAUAUAGAUGCAUAACCACACCGCACACAAACUCAUGCUGGCUGCUGAACAUGCAUGUGAAUUUCUGGGCUUAUCGUUUAAGUGCAAACAUGUUUUUGCCUCCCUGUACCGAAGCUUUGAUAGUCCAAAUGUUGAACCAAACUGAAAAUCCAUCCAACUCCCACUCGAACCAGCAACUGCGUGAUCUUAAGCAGCCAUUGGAAUGAGUUUGAGAACUCCCAGCUAACUCCCAUUUGUUCAAUGCAAGCUCAUCAUCAUAUCACAAAAAAUGUAGAGACUACCGUGCAAAAAACUGUACAACUUUCACCCCACCUAACAAAAAUCAUACUUAACAGAUCAAAGUCACCGUAUUAAGUCUUAUUUCCUUGGCCACAAUAUUGACAUCUUCCAGACAGGCUUUAAAAUUCCGAAAGAUUUCCAAUUCUUUCUAGUGAUCCAUAAUACUAUAUAAUUAGAUAAAUUAUUCAGUUCAGAAAAACCUCCUCCUGAAAUUCCUGGUAGUUGCUUGAUAUGAUCGCAUUAGAAGUCCAACACCUAUUCCAAUCCCAAGGCACAUCCCAAGGCCAAUUCCAACACCAACUCUAACACCAGCAUUAAACCAUGAGAGUUGGCCAUCCUCACCAUGAUACAUGUCCUCUGAGUAGUAUCUGCUUGUAAUUUUCCCAUCUAACUCACACUCAUCCCCAUCUGAUUCAGCAAUCUGAACUUUACGGAGGCGAACCAACCCAUUGAUGCCUACACCAUUCUGCUCCUUUUCCAUCUCGUCAUCCUCAGGAAUAGCAUCAAGCAUUCCAUGCCUCGAUACUUUCCUUAUCGGACUGACCAAAAUUGUCUUAGUCAAUAUCACCGGCACACCCCCACAGCAACCAGCAAUAUAAACUUCAAUGGCAGGCGCCGAAAAGCCCAUCUUCGGUUGGAAAAACACAGAGUUUCCCUCCCCCACAGAAGCCGCCAUGUAACACUCCAUGCUCCAUCCUGUCUUCGAAUCAUUUUCCAGUCCUACGCUCCCAUUCCCCCAAACGGCUUCUAUUCUCUCCAGGGACCCACAUAAAAAUAAAUCGUUCUUCUCCAACACCUCGAAUUCCACGGCACCAGUGACACGCACACUGUCUGUACUGACGUAGGUGACCUCAGAAGACUCCUUAUUGAGACGGUCGCGACGGAGGGUCACGGAGGCAGAAUCAGCGCAUGGAACUCUGAAGCCGUUGAUUUCGAGGGGCGUGCUGAUUUCGCGGCGAAGAUGGCGAAGAGUGAGAUGGUCCGGGACGCUGUCGAUCACGCACGGCGUGAUUCUGACGUAGAACAAUCUGAUUUCGAGCCACGAAGAAUUGGUUAUGAGAUUAUAUGAAUGGGAUUCCUGGUCUUGGUUAUUCAUUGAAUCCCAAAAUUCCACUAAUUGGAAGCACGGAAAACAGGAAUUAGGAUCUGUAUCGCUGGAGUAUAGAGUUCUAGAAUGAGAAGCAUCAAAAUGAACUAGUAUUUCAUAAAUUUGGAAUUCGAAUUCGGGGAAUCAUGAACGGAGUUUGAGAUUUAGAAAGAAUGCAUGUUGUAAAAUAUAUAAAAAUUGCCUAAUUAAGUGCUGGAAAGAAAGAGGGUUCCGAUUGAUGUGAAAAUUAGGGUUUUUGACUGGGAGUUUGAGAGGCUUUCAUCGAAGAUUGCUGGUGGUAGACAUUUCCAUCGGAAGCACAGACCAGGUCAAAGAAAGGAGUUACAGAAAAAAUAGCAUUUUCUUAAACAACGGUGACAUAACGUAAAAUCACCCGACACAAAAUCCUUCUUCCUCUGUGUGCUUCUCUCAAAAUAAUUAUUUCAGAAUAUCCUUAAAUCUUCCUAAAAUCAAAAGAAUAUUCUUAAAUCGAAC
RNAcentral lists this unclassified non-coding RNA (2742 nucleotides) under Hevea brasiliensis (rubber tree). The record is from RNAcentral. Lineage: Eukaryota; Viridiplantae; Streptophyta; Magnoliopsida; Malpighiales; Euphorbiaceae.